CCCUUAGAUGUUCUGGGCUGCACACGUGCUACACUGGCAGGUUCAGCGAGCUUCAUGCCCUGAUCUGAAAGGAAUGGGAAAUCUUUUCAAAACCUGCCGUGCUUGGGAUAGAUGUUUGCAAUUAUUCAUCUUCAACGAGGAUUGCCUUGUAAGCGCACGUCAUCAGCGUGCAUUGAAUAUGACCCUGUAUUCUGUACACACCGCCCGUCGCUCCUACCGAUUGAAGUUUUCGGUGAGUUGACAGGAGGAUUUUUUUGAAACUGGUUCGCCAGUGGAUUUUAGAUCCAAAUGCCAACGAAUCGAUGGCUUUAGAGGAAGGAGAAGUCGUAACA
RNAcentral lists this ribosomal RNA (332 nucleotides) under uncultured eukaryote. RNAcentral's name for it is "partial 18S ribosomal RNA". It matches the Rfam family "Eukaryotic small subunit ribosomal RNA", at positions 1470 to 1796 of the family's 1831-position model. The record is from RNAcentral.